RNAcentral lists this transfer RNA (77 nucleotides) under Escherichia phage rV5_ev156. RNAcentral describes it as "tRNA-Pro". It matches the Rfam family "tRNA". From Rfam's summary of the family: Transfer RNA (tRNA) molecules are approximately 80 nucleotides in length. The record is from RNAcentral. Lineage: Duplodnaviria; Heunggongvirae; Uroviricota; Caudoviricetes. RNAcentral also lists the same sequence under 1 other name.
CUCCGCGUAGCUCAGCUUAGUAGAGCGCCUGAUUUGGGAUCAGGAGGUCGAGUGUUCGAAUCACUCCGUGGAGACCA